Molecule: ribosomal RNA, 2730 nt
Filed under: Shigella flexneri
Lineage: Bacteria; Pseudomonadati; Pseudomonadota; Gammaproteobacteria; Enterobacterales; Enterobacteriaceae
Description: partial 23S ribosomal RNA
Rfam family: Bacterial large subunit ribosomal RNA
Source: RNAcentral
GGGAACUGAAACAUCUAAGUACCCCGAGGAAAAGAAAUCAACCGAGAUUCCCCCAGUAGCGGCGAGCGAACGGGGAGCAGCCCAGAGCCUGAAUCAGUGUGUGUGUUAGUGGAAGCGUCUGGAAAGGCGUGCGAUACAGGGUGACAGCCCCGUACACAAAAAUGCACAUACUGUGAGCUCGAUGAGUAGGGCGGGACACGUGGUAUCCUGUCUGAAUAUGGGGGGACCAUCCUCCAAGGCUAAAUACUCCUGACUGACCGAUAGUGAACCAGUACCGUGAGGGAAAGGCGAAAAGAACCCCGGCGAGGGGAGUGAAAAAGAACCUGAAACCGUGUACGUACAAGCAGUGGGAGCACGCUUAGGCGUGUGACUGCGUACCUUUUGUAUAAUGGGUCAGCGACUUAUAUUCUGUAGCAAGGUUAACCGAAUAGGGGAGCCGAAGGGAAACCGAGUCUUAACUGGGCGUUAAGUUGCAGGGUAUAGACCCGAAACCCGGUGAUCUAGCCAUGGGCAGGUUGAAGGUUGGGUAACACUAACUGGAGGACCGAACCGACUAAUGUUGAAAAAUUAGCGGAUGACUUGUGGCUGGGGGUGAAAGGCCAAUCAAACCGGGAGAUAGCUGGUUCUCCCCGAAAGCUAUUUAGGUAGCGCCUCGUGAAUUCAUCUCCGGGGGUAGAGCACUGUUUCGGCAAGGGGGUCAUCCCGACUUACCAACCCGAUGCAAACUGCGAAUACCGGAGAAUGUUAUCACGGGAGACACACGGCGGGUGCUAACGUCCGUCGUGAAGAGGGAAACAACCCAGACCGCCAGCUAAGGUCCCAAAGUCAUGGUUAAGUGGGAAACGAUGUGGGAAGGCCCAGACAGCCAGGAUGUUGGCUUAGAAGCAGCCAUCAUUUAAAGAAAGCGUAAUAGCUCACUGGUCGAGUCGGCCUGCGCGGAAGAUGUAACGGGGCUAAACCAUGCACCGAAGCUGCGGCAGCGACGCUUAUGCGUUGUUGGGUAGGGGAGCGUUCUGUAAGCCUGUGAAGGUGUACUGUGAGGUAUGCUGGAGGUAUCAGAAGUGCGAAUGCUGACAUAAGUAACGAUAAAGCGGGUGAAAAGCCCGCUCGCCGGAAGACCAAGGGUUCCUGUCCAACGUUAAUCGGGGCAGGGUGAGUCGACCCCUAAGGCGAGGCCGAAAGGCGUAGUCGAUGGGAAACAGGUUAAUAUUCCUGUACUUGGUGUUACUGCGAAGGGGGGACGGAGAAGGCUAUGUUGGCCGGGCGACGGUUGUCCCGGUUUAAGCGUGUAGGCUGGUUUUCCAGGCAAAUCCGGAAAAUCAAGGCCGAGGCGUGAUGACGAGGCACUACGGUGCUGAAGCAACAAAUGCCCUGCUUCCAGGAAAAGCCUCUAAGCAUCAGGUAACAUCAAAUCGUACCCCAAACCGACACAGGUGGUCAGGUAGAGAAUACCAAGGCGCUUGAGAGAACUCGGGUGAAGGAACUAGGCAAAAUGGUGCCGUAACUUCGGGAGAAGGCACGCUGAUACGUAGGUGAAGCGACUUGCUCGUGGAGCUGAAAUCAGUCGAAGAUACCAGCUGGCUGCAACUGUUUAUUAAAAACACAGCACUGUGCAAACACGAAAGUGGACGUAUACGGUGUGACGCCUGCCCGGUGCCGGAAGGUUAAUUGAUGGGGUUAGCGCAAGCGAAGCUCUUGAUCGAAGCCCCGGUAAACGGCGGCCGUAACUAUAACGGUCCUAAGGUAGCGAAAUUCCUUGUCGGGUAAGUUCCGACCUGCACGAAUGGCGUAAUGAUGGCCAGGCUGUCUCCACCCGAGACUCAGUGAAAUUGAACUCGCUGUGAAGAUGCAGUGUACCCGCGGCAAGACGGAAAGACCCCGUGAACCUUUACUAUAGCUUGACACUGAACAUUGAGCCUUGAUGUGUAGGAUAGGUGGGAGGCUUUGAAGUGUGGACGCCAGUCUGCAUGGAGCCGACCUUGAAAUACCACCCUUUAAUGUUUGAUGUUCUAACGUGGACCCGUGAUCCGGGUUGCGGACAGUGUCUGGUGGGUAGUUUGACUGGGGCGGUCUCCUCCUAAAGAGUAACGGAGGAGCACGAAGGUUGGCUAAUCCUGGUCGGACAUCAGGAGGUUAGUGCAAUGGCAUAAGCCAGCUUGACUGCGAGCGUGACGGCGCGAGCAGGUGCGAAAGCAGGUCAUAGUGAUCCGGUGGUUCUGAAUGGAAGGGCCAUCGCUCAACGGAUAAAAGGUACUCCGGGGAUAACAGGCUGAUACCGCCCAAGAGUUCAUAUCGACGGCGGUGUUUGGCACCUCGAUGUCGGCUCAUCACAUCCUGGGGCUGAAGUAGGUCCCAAGGGUAUGGCUGUUCGCCAUUUAAAGUGGUACGCGAGCUGGGUUUAGAACGUCGUGAGACAGUUCGGUCCCUAUCUGCCGUGGGCGCUGGAGAACUGAGGGGGGCUGCUCCUAGUACGAGAGGACCGGAGUGGACGCAUCACUGGUGUUCGGGUUGUCAUGCCAAUGGCACUGCCCGGUAGCUAAAUGCGGAAGAGAUAAGUGCUGAAAGCAUCUAAGCACGAAACUUGCCCCGAGAUGAGUUCUCCCUGACCCUUUAAGGGUCCUGAAGGAACGUUGAAGACGACGACGUUGAUAGGCCGGGUGUGUAAGCGCAGCGAUGCGUUGAGCUAACCGGUACUAAUGAACCGUGAGGCUUAACCUUACAACGCCGAAG